RNAcentral lists this ribosomal RNA (497 nucleotides) under uncultured bacterium. Its description in RNAcentral is "partial 16S ribosomal RNA". It matches the Rfam family "Bacterial small subunit ribosomal RNA", at positions 28 to 507 of the family's 1533-position model. The record is from RNAcentral.
GACGAGCGCUGGCGGCGUGCCUAAUACAUGCAAGUUGAGCGCUGAAGGUUGGUACUUGUACCAACUGGAUGAGCAGCGAGCGGGUGAGUAACGCGUGGGGAAUCUGCCUUUGAGCGGGGGACAACAUUUGGAAACGAAUGCUAAUACCGCAUAAAAACUUUAAACACAAGUUUUAAGUUUGAAAGAUGCAAUUGCAUCACUCAAAGAUGAUCCCGCGUUGUAUUAGCUAGUUGGUGAGGUAAAGGCUCACCAAGGCGAUGAUACAUAGCCGACCUGAGAGGGUGAUCGGCCACAUUGGGACUGAGACACGGCCCAAACUCCUACGGGAGGCAGCAGUAGGGAAUCUUCGGCAAUGGACGAAAGUCUGACCGAGCAACGCCGCGUGAGUGAAGAAGGUUUUCGGAUCGUAAAACUCUGUUGGUAGAGAAGAACGUUGGUGAGAGUGGAAAGCUCAUCAAGUGACGGUAACUACCCAGAAAGGGACGGCUAACUACGUG